Molecule: unclassified non-coding RNA, 263 nt
Filed under: plant metagenome
Description: partial contains small subunit ribosomal RNA, internal transcribed spacer 1, and 5.8S ribosomal RNA
Source: RNAcentral
UUUCCGUAGGUGAACCUGCGGAAGGAUCAUUAUUGUAUAACCGAGGUGCGAGUGCUGUCGCUGACCCGACAGGUCGUGCACGCCUGAGUGCCCUCACACACAUCCAUCUCACCCCUAUGUGCACCACCGCGUGGGUCCCCCUUUGGCUUGUUCGGAGGGGGGCUUACGUUUUCACACAAACUUUGUAUGCAGUGUAGAAUGUAUUUUUUGUUUUUGCGAUCACGCAAUCAAUACAACUUUCAACAACGGAUCUCUUGGCUCUC